This 33-nucleotide non-coding RNA is filed under the name Prorocentrum micans. The record is from RNAcentral. Lineage: Eukaryota; Dinophyceae; Prorocentrales; Prorocentraceae.
UUUUUUUUUUUUUUUUUUUUUUUUUUUUUUUCA